Molecule: ribosomal RNA, 253 nt
Filed under: uncultured bacterium
Lineage: Bacteria
Description: partial 16S ribosomal RNA
Rfam family: Bacterial small subunit ribosomal RNA
Source: RNAcentral
UACGGAGGGUGCGAGCGUUGUCCGGAAUCACUGGGCGUAAAGCGCACGUAGGCGGAUUGUUAAGUCAGGGGUGAAAUCCUGGAGCUCAACUCCAGAACUGCCUUUGAUACUGGCGAUCUUGAGUCCGGGAGAGGUGAGUGGAACUGCGAGUGUAGAGGUGAAAUUCGUAGAUAUUCGCAAGAACACCAGUGGCGAAGGCGGCUCACUGGCCCGGUACUGACGCUGAGGUGCGAAAGCGUGGGGAGCAAACAGG